CCAGCUCAGCCUAAUUAUGUAUUACCUCAUUCUGUUUUUAACUCUUUCCUGGGCAUAUUAUAUGGUCACUUUGUGGCAUGGUAAAGGAAGCAGAUCAUAUCCUGGAUGUAUGUUUUCUGUCACGGUACACACUGCACAGCUCAUGGAUCACAGGACUGAGCUGGUGUCAGCCUGGACAGCUAAGGUGACUGCCUUCUUGGUUCCUCUGAGGUCAGAGGUCCUGACACAAUAGUUCAGCUCCUUCCUGCAAGUGACACUCCUUGGAUGUCCUGGAAAAUCUGCUGGAAGGUGGCACACUUUGUUUUCAAAGUCCUAGCCUGCACACCUCUCUCAGGUGCUGCUAUGGAACUAGGCCAUCUUUUGAUCACUUCAAGGAUCAUCCAUUGACUUUACAAGCAACAGAGUGGGAUAAAGAGACCAGCUCCUCCUAAAAACUAUGAAAAAGAGGAUGUUCAGUUGCUCCUAGCUCCAGUCUAUCAUUGUUUUAUGUAAAUCAAAUAGUUAUUUCAACUUUUAUAAAUCCAUAAGAACUAUGUGCUGUUCCUUGGCGCAGAAGAGACAGCUUUCUGGCACACUGGAAAGAUAGAUUGGGAAUUCUUAACCAAGAAAUGUACUUUCUAUGGUUUUCCCACAGCAUUGAGGAGAUAAAAGGGCAAAACUAAGCAAAUAAUAGCAGACCCAUUUCUUCAAUAUGUUCUUUCAACAGAAAACCACAGCAGACCACAAAUAGUGGCCAAAGGGGCAGAAUUCUGUAGUGACCAAAUGGAGCCCUGGUGAGACCUGUGCAUGUACUGUGGCUACUGUCAGUAAGAUAAUGAGAAGAUAGGAAGGAUCUCAUCUUACCCUGACAAGCUGCAUUUCUAUUGUGUUUUGUCCAUAGGCAAACACAUUCUAUUGAAGGGAAUGACUGUUACACUACUGCAACUAAUGAGAAGAUUAUGAAGGACAACUUUUUCAGAGCGUUAUGAGUAAAGAUAAUACUUUCCAGCCUCACUCACUUUUCUGUGAAUAGGUUUCAUUUAAAAAUUUAUUUCAGUUUUGUUUCUUAAUGAACAUUUUCAUUAACUUAUUAAUA
This is a long non-coding RNA of Numida meleagris (helmeted guineafowl), 1075 nucleotides long. RefSeq lists it as uncharacterized. NCBI's taxonomy places the organism in Eukaryota, Metazoa, Chordata, Aves, Galliformes, Numididae. The transcript has 3 exons. The record is from RefSeq and is a predicted model, not a curated record.